Molecule: long non-coding RNA, 356 nt
Organism: Dreissena polymorpha
Lineage: Eukaryota; Metazoa; Mollusca; Bivalvia; Myida; Dreissenidae
Exons: 5
Source: RefSeq, a predicted model, not a curated record
CACUAUGUAUACAAGGGGCAUAACCACUCAGCAAAUUGUACUUACGGAUUUCGGAUGUGAUUGUGGAAUGUGUUUUAGUUUCAAACAUUUGUUAUGAUUUAUGAGAAUUUGGUGUCGCAAAAACUGGUGAACAGUGCCAGAAGAAGUACCAAAAUUCCAAGGCUCGGUCUUCUUCAUAUGCUUAACAAAGCAGUGAGCGUGCCACAACAGCCAGCAGUGAAGAACAUAUGAGUGUACCAGUCAUGAAAGUAGAGGCAUGAAGUGGAAAGAAUCGCUCACAAAGAAGACCGACAAGAGAUCACAAGCCGAUACCUUAACAAAACUUACAGAGAAACGGAUGGGAAAUAACUAACUAU